UACGGAGGGAGCUAGCGUUGUUCGGAAUUACUGGGCGUAAAGCGCGCGUAGGCGGCUUUGUAAGUUAGAGGUGAAAGCCCGGGGCUCAACCCCGGAAUUGCCUUUAAAACUGCAUCGCUUGAAUCCAGGAGAGGUGAGUGGAAUUCCGAGUGUAGAGGUGAAAUUCGUAGAUAUUCGGAAGAACACCAGUGGCGAAGGCGGCUCACUGGACUGGUAUUGACGCUGAGGUACGGAAGCGUGGGGAGCAAACAGG
RNAcentral lists this ribosomal RNA (253 nucleotides) under uncultured bacterium. RNAcentral describes it as "partial 16S ribosomal RNA". It matches the Rfam family "Bacterial small subunit ribosomal RNA", at positions 524 to 776 of the family's 1533-position model. The record is from RNAcentral.